UACGUAGGAGGCGAGCGUUGUCCGGAUUUAUUGGGCGUAAAGGGCGCGCAGGCGGCACUAUAAGUUAGAUGUGAAAUCUCCCGGCUCAACUGGGAGGGAGCAUUUGAUACUGUAGAGCUGGAGUGCAGCAGAGGGAGAUGGAAUUCCCGGUGUAGUGGUGAAAUGCGUAGAUAUCGGGAGGAACACCAGUGGCGAAAGCGGUCUUCUGGGCUGUAACUGACGCUGAGGCGCGAAAGCGUGGGGAGCGAAC
Molecule: ribosomal RNA, 250 nt
Filed under: uncultured bacterium
Lineage: Bacteria
Description: partial 16S ribosomal RNA
Rfam family: Bacterial small subunit ribosomal RNA
Source: RNAcentral